Molecule: unclassified non-coding RNA, 377 nt
Filed under: uncultured Chlamydiales bacterium
Lineage: Bacteria; Pseudomonadati; Chlamydiota; Chlamydiia; Chlamydiales
Description: contains 16S-23S intergenic spacer region
Source: RNAcentral
UCCUGGUUAACCCAGGCAGUCUCAUUAGAGUUCCCACCUCGCGUGUUGGCAACUAAUGAUAAGGGUUGCGCUCGUUGCGGGACUUAACCCAACACCUCACGGCACGAGCUGACGACAGCCAUGCAGCACCUGUACAGAGACCCUUGCGGGAGACCUCAUUUCUGAAGCUGUCCUCUGUAUUUCAAAUCUGGGUAAGGUUCUUCGCGUUGCAUCGAAUUAAACCACAUGCUCCACUGCUUGUGCGGGCCCCCGUCAAUUCUUUUGAGUUUCACCCUUGCGAGCGUACUCCUCAGGCGGUAUACUUAUCGCGUUAGCUUCGACACAGUCAGGGUUGAGCCCAACUACACCAAGUAUACAUCGUUUACGGCAAGGACUAC